GCAAGUCGAGGGGUAACGGGGAGCUUGCUCCGCCGACGACCGGCGCACGGGUGCGUAACGCGUAUACAAUCUACCUUUUGCUGAGGGAUAGCCCAGAGAAAUUUGGAUUAAUACCUCAUGGUAUUAUUGAUAGGCAUCUAUUAAUAAUUAAAGGUUACGGCAAAAGAUGAGUAUGCGUCCCAUUAGCUAGUUGGUGAAGUAACGGUUCACCAAGGCAACGAUGGGUAGGGGUCCUGAGAGGGAGAUC
Molecule: ribosomal RNA, 247 nt
Filed under: uncultured bacterium
Lineage: Bacteria
Description: partial 16S ribosomal RNA
Rfam family: Bacterial small subunit ribosomal RNA
Source: RNAcentral